Molecule: non-coding RNA, 5621 nt
Organism: Cyanistes caeruleus (blue tit)
Lineage: Eukaryota; Metazoa; Chordata; Aves; Passeriformes; Paridae
Source: RefSeq, a predicted model, not a curated record
AUCAGUUCCAAAUGCCCCAGAGUAGAUCUUAUAUCUCUACACAUGUUUAAGUUCACUGUGUAUCAAGUGUGUUAGCUUUUAGAAAGAUAAACUCAAUGGGGUCAUUAGUUGAAUUGAAACUAAGUUUUCUCUGCUUAAAAAUUUUAAUUAUGGUGUUAAGUCAGGUUCUACUGGUAGAAGUAUGUAACAGCAUGACACACAGUUUAUGAUCUGGUAUUUUACAAGUGCUAUCAAGUGACCCUGUCUCAGCAAGUUUUUAAAACACUCCCUAACUACUAUUAGUCAUUAGUGACCUUAGGAAUAUAUUGUUGCUGGUAAGCACAUUAAAAGAAUUUAUGAUACUAUGUAUAAUGCAAUGAUUUAUAUGCCAAUUUAUAUGUAGCUCCCUUGCAAAACAAGAAUUGUUCUAAAUUAUUUUUCAUUGAAGUCUACUUUUUUCUUUUACAUUGCCAAAAUCAUACUUUAUUUGGUUCUUUUAUAGGCAUUGGUGGUUUGGAGUUAUGAACUUACUUUACUUCUACUUGCUUCACUACAUGCAGAAUUCUUACCAUGACACAGUUCUGCUUACAAAAACUGCACUUGGGAUGUGGCAGGAAAACCUAGAGUACACUGACUUUCUUUUCUGCAGGAAGAAUAAUAGUUCAGUUAUUCUGUGCUGGAAGCUGGAUUUGAAAACUUACAUGGUGCAAAAUAGCUCAGACAGAUAUUUGAAAUGAAAGUAAUUUUUCCUAGUCAGUGCUUCUUUCUGUAUUAAAAUCUGUGAACUAGUAGUAAUGAAUAUUUUUAUCCAUGGCCAAACCACAACAAAUUCUUUGGGAGGAAAACUCUCUUAGAGGAGUCUCAUAAAGUCUUAUGCCAUCAUUAACUUGUGUUUAAGCCUUUUUAUAAUGUUCAAUAUGUGAGUGCUACCUAGUCAAGAAACUUAAGUCCUGAGGUCAACCUGAAACGUUUGCUAAAUGCAUAUAGCUGUAAGGCUGCUUAUUCCACAUUUUGUGGUAAUACUCUUAGUUGUGAUAAACAUUAAAUUAAUGCAAUAAUGCUUGAACUGACAAAACUGGACCAACAAAGCAUUUUCUUACAGUUAUACCUUAUAGUCAGAUUAUGACUACAUCAUAAAUUAUACCCCUGAUAAGAUUACAGUGUUUCUUACCGCAUUUAUUCAUAGGAAAUGCCUUAGUCUCAGUAACUUAAAAUCCACCAGUUGAUUUGCAGUAUCAGAUACAAAGUUUUCUUAGCUUCCAGAAAACUAAUCAGAUGGUUUCAUAAGAAAAUAUAUGGGCUGGUCUAAGUGCUAAAAUCCAGAGUUACAACAAGGAAGAAGUCAACCACUCACACAACACAGCCUCCCUUGAAUUUACCCCCAGGAUAAGAACAAGGAUUUCCUUAUCAUGAGUGAUAACUAUAGUAGAACACAUGGCUUAUCAUUCUACCUCGCUUUUCAAUAUCUCUAACCAGGUUCCAGUGCUUACUGCAAUGUUAGGAGCUUGUUAACCAUAUUAGAAGAUGAGGUGAAUGGACUUAGCAUGCCUUCCUGCUACUCAAGAUGCAGUCUGUGGCCUUGAAGACUCCACCAGCACAGAAAUCAGGAGUUAAGAUCUAUGUAUUGUGAAGCAGCUUUAUUUCCUUCAGACCUUCCAUAGGAGCAUCAUUCAGAAUAAAGGUGUGCACACCUCUUACAGUAGCUAUGGAAUUACUAUGUGAUACAGAUAAAUGUGUUUAGCAGAGACUGAAUUCAGCAAAUAGCUGCUGUAAAUAUAUUUUUUCUUCUAAACCCAUGGAAAACUCUAAUUCUUUGGCAGUGUGUUUUUAUCAGAUGAACAACCAGAAUUAUUUUCUAAAUACACUUUUGCUUCCUAAGGAACAUAAAGAAGAAUUCCACUCCAGUUGUUAUUUAGAAUUGAAGUAGUGGAGAUGAUGUACUUCAAGUAAGUCUGUUAGCUGAAAUGUGAGUUUCCUGUCUCUCAGUGCAAGCAGUUUUGAAUUUUUAGUGUAUUUCCAGCACUGAAACUUUUGAACAGUAUGUGGAUUUUGAGAAUCACUGAACACAUUCUGCUUCUAUUUCUGUGUUUAAUAGAUUAAUCUAGAGUGACCCUGUAUGGACAGGGUAGUAUUUGUGACCUGGACCUGAAUGUAUCCAUGGAGUCAUUUCUUCAAGAAAAUGGUCAACAUUAGGGUUUUGUGGCUUAUAUGCAUAUUUUGCAGUGAUGCAGAGAAACCUUGCCAAGACAUCAGAUUAUGUCAAAGCCACAUAUGAGGUUACCUUUCUGUUACUCCUGCUCAUAUAGGUUUGGAGAGUUGAGAGUUCAUGCUCUCCUGUGUUACAGCCUUGUCUUUCCUGACCUUGGCACAUUUUUCUUUCCUGCCCCUAAUACAAAAGAGAAGCCCAGCAGGGACUCCAAAGUAUCUUCUGUGGAAUGGAGAGCCAUUGUCACUCUUCUGGAAUAGAGAAGAGUGGGUUCUGUAAGUGGAAAAAGACCCUGUUCUAAUUAUGCUUUAUAGUUGGGGUCAGUCUGAUUUCCAUGAAAACUGAACUCAAACAAUGCAGUUCUCUUCACUGGGUACUGACAAAUGGACAUUCACAAACCAUAACUAAAGAAAGUAAUGAGGAAAUGGUUGUUAUUUGAAUGACUCCUAUUUGUAUAACUGGGUAUGUGUGCAGUGAUUGUCUCUUGAGGUACUCCAGGUGUCAGCCAGCCCUUUAACCCACACCUGUCUGAAAGGUAAACAAUGACAUUUUGUUCCUGAUAACAAAUCCUUUCAAUAGAGCAAUCUCAUGAACCUCUGUAAAGUUUAGUUAAGGAAACAAUGAAUGGAGAUUUACUCCCUACUUGCUUAUAGCUCAAGUGACUCCAUCAGGUUAUAUAGCACUGCUUUGGAUGAACGCUAGUAUAAAAGAGAGAAAGGAUAAAACCCACAGGGUCUAACUGAUUUGGGCUAAAUUUGAGGGGCAAUUAAAUUGCUUGUUUUUCUGAAUAACUUGCAAGAUAUAUUGGGUUGAACUUGAUGUGAGCUUGCUGAAAACAAAACAGUAAUUUACUAAACAAACUUUUUUUUAUGACUUUUUUUCCCCCUUAGAUUUUAAAACAGCACUUGACAUAACAGAGAAAGAGGGAUAAAGUUGAAGAUAACAAAUUAGUAGUAUCCUGUUUAAGAACAGUCAGUCACUUCUUUCAAUCAAAACCACACUAACAUGUGGCCUGUUCAAAUAAAAAUUACUAGACUAGAACCAAACACUAAAAAGUAAUUGAUAAUAGAUUUUUUCAGAACCCACUCGUCCAUCAAAUGUGUCACUUCUCCAUAAUACUUUAUUAGUCCUUUUUGCAUCAAAAUUAAGAAAUUUGGCAGAAAAUAAAAACUUGCUUUCCAGCUGGUCCUCAGAGUUCAGAAGGGUUGGGUGUGAACUGGACAUAAUUUCUGAUUAGAACUAAUUUGGCACUAAUAUCUGUGGUCACAUUCAUCAUAAGAUGUUCCAUGACCACAGAUUCACAAAUAAUGUGGUUUACCAAUUCAAUGCCAUAGGUCAAGUCAUGUGCAAUAAGAACUUGUGCAGUCACAGAUUCAUGAAUAGUGUGAUGAACCAAUCUGGCUCUAUAGGUCUGGUCAUAUUAUUCAAGAACACUGGGAACAAAGCUAAAUUAAUAUUGCAGUUUAUUGAAGCAACAUCCAGAUUUGGAAUUGCUGUUGACAAGUGCAUUAGCUGGGAUAGAACUCUAACAAUAACAGUAAUAUUGUGUUAACCUGGGUAAUAAUAAUUAGAAACUUACCAAGAAGGCAUCCCUCCUCAAAAAAAAAAGGGAGGAGACUAGCCAGGCCUCUGUCUCAAGUCUUGUUGAUUUUCCUCCUAAGUGAAAUUCCUACCCUUCUUAUAUACAUUGCAAUCUUAUUCCCCUCCUCCUGUGCUAUAUGUAGCAGAUACAGAUAGGGAGUUGUGUAAAAUAAACAUACAUGUCCUAUCAUGUAAUUAAUUGAGCUUGUUAACAUAUGCAGAGUGUUCAUUUUACAAUUCAAAUAACUCUUAGUGAGGCAAAAGUUAAUUUUUCUUUGUUAUGGUGUCCUUCAAAGUUCCAGUGAUUGGACUCUGCCAUUCUGUCAUUCUUCAAAGCCAAAACAGGACCAUCCUCCUGUCUCCAAAGGACUUCCUCCUUUAGUCAGUUCAUCCCUUCUUGACAUUAACUGUGCAGAUCUCCAUUUGCGAAGAUAACACAGAGAGAACACAGUGUAGGUCCUAGAUAGUAAGCUGUAGCCCUUUCCUGGCUCCUUGGUCAUCAUCCCACUCGCCUCCUAAGGAAAGAUCUUUAAAAGUCAUUGUGUGCACUUAAAACAAAGUGUCCCUGUCCCAGUUUAUAAUGAUUGUCUUUUAGAUUGGAUUUGUUUUGUUAUUUAAUUGCAUUCUCUUAUGCUGUGCAUCUUUAGACAGUUGCUAGAAAUUUUUGCAGCUCUUAAACAAAGAAUCUUUUGUGCUAUAUCAGCUUGCAUUUUCCUUGGAUUGUGUUGUGCUGGUGUCCUUUCACUGACUUCAGCAGCGACUAUUGUAGUCAUAGCUUCACUAAGUAGACUGUAACAGAUUCCUUGGUCCUUUCUCUAUGUUGUUUCCUAUCAACUGAUCUGUGGGAAAUGUACUAUAUGCUGUUAAGGCAUAUGUGCUAAUAUAAAAAAUAAAUUACCUUAACUGGAGGAAGCUUUGAGACUCCUAAUACAGUAACCCAGCAGAAAACUUUAUGAAAGUUGUGUACCUACCAAACUCCAUGGAUAUUUUUGUUUAAAUGUUCUGCACUUAUUUUCUACACCAGCCUUUUACAAUUGGCUUUACCAAACAGAUAUUAUGAAAAAUGCUCUGUAAUUUCUUAAUAUGAGAUAACAAGAGAGAGGUAAAUACUGAAUUCAUUCAAUUGCAUUAAUGUAUUUCUAUUUUUCCCUACAGUUGAAAGAACAACAGUGAACACAGUUGUAGAAAGAUUAUUACUCUGAAUUAGAGAGCAGUGUGAACACAUCUAUUGUACUAGUUUUGUAUGGUCUACCAAUGAUAACUAUCAAAUUACAGACUGCAGUAUAGUUAAGAGGUCAAGUACUGGAGUGCUAAUUGAUUCAUACAAGUGCUUUGUAUUCUAAUGUUUAGAAUGCUAUUUCAUAUAAUAAAGUGGUAGAGCUCACAACUUGUGUCAUGAGAAGAAAGCAGAUUCUCAUGACAGUGCAGGACUAGAAGCAUUUUAAGCAGGAAGAGCUGAUGAUGGAGGCGCAGUUCUGGUAAGAGUAUCUGGAAGCACACUUGAACAAAGACCAUCCACACCCCCCUCCAAUAAGAUGUGCAUUGUCUCUGGACCCUCAGAGAGAAGUUUGUACUCACGUGCUGUCUGUAGUACAUUCUUUCACUUUGGAAAUACUAUUAAUUGAUACUAUGUUUCGAAGUGAAAAAGUUCAUUACCUACUUCCUGCUCUGGAAACUAAAGCCGCUGCUCCCCUUCCCACCCCCAAGAAAGAAUUUUAGAGCUACUCCACCUGGGGUUAAUGAACUUAAAUGGAAUAACCUCAGCCCGAAGUCUGAUUUGUCAAACAAGAAUGUUUAAAUCUUUGAAUUGGAUAGCAAAACAAAGUGAGGAUCAAAUAAAUUGGUAGUAAAAGUU